RNAcentral lists this microRNA (24 nucleotides) under Brachypodium distachyon (stiff brome). RNAcentral describes it as "bdi-miR7713-3p (MIR7713)". Lineage: Eukaryota; Viridiplantae; Streptophyta; Magnoliopsida; Poales; Poaceae. The record is from RNAcentral.
CUUGAGACUGGCAGCAUUAGCAAG